This 1026-nucleotide long non-coding RNA is filed under the name Equus caballus (horse). Its description in RNAcentral is "lncRNA (ENSECAG00000058678.1)". The record is from RNAcentral. Lineage: Eukaryota; Metazoa; Chordata; Mammalia; Perissodactyla; Equidae.
GCCAGGGGCUCGGGCAGUGUGGGCUGAGCCCAAUGUGCGAAGACGGGCCUGCAGUGGAGGAAGCUUUUGCAGGUCAAAAACAUGUGUUUGGGAAACCUUCCUUGUGCUCUUGGCUUGGGAAUCUCACUCCUUCUGUGAAUCACUUCUUCUUGCAGCCUUGGUGUUUUCUCUACUUCAUCUUGGAGUCCUGUGAACCCCUAGUGCGCAUUCUGCUUCCUGCUGGGCUGGCUGCUGGCAGCCGCCCAUCUGUGCCAUCCGUGAGGCAGACAGAGGGACAGACAGGGAGCCUGCAGGGCAGUGACUCCCCUCCUGAGAGAAGGCCCUGCCCGGAUCUGCCAGGUUCUAAACACCUGGCAUGGGGCAGAGGAGAGAUGUCUUGACUGAUAGCAGAAGUGCCAAAUGCUUCUUGGUCCUGCCAUGAAACGCCUGUGCCGCCUCAAACUUCAGCUUCCACCCUAAGAAACAGGACAUCUGGCCUAGAUGGUGCGAAGGGCUCUGUGAGCUUCGUGCUCCUGAGGGAAGGGCUGGGAUGGCAGAGGGAGGCUGAGCCCUGUCCUUCGAGGUUGCCCCCAGAUCUGGCCCUGCCCUCCGACAGGGUUUGAGGCGGUGGCAGCUACUGGUUAAUGGGGACCAGAUGCAGCCCUGUCCCUGGCCGUGCUCGGCCGCCUUCCUGCUCCAAGGACUUGGGGCUCUUUGAAACUCUGUGGAGUGUGGCUUCGGAGCCCAGAGUGGAAACCGCAGCUCCAUUCUGUGAGCACAUGUGAUCUCCCUGGGCGGAGAGAGUGACUGGCCUCAGGAAAGGAGAGGCGAGGUGGAGGCCACUGGCUCUCUGGAGAAUGCUUUUGCCUCCCUGCUUAGGACGGUGUCUGGGAGCCCCAGGGAGGAACGGGGCAGACGCACCGGAGAAGCCCCCAGCCCCAACGUUCCUGCUGAAAACACUGAACCUGAAUCUAGUCCUGAGGAAACAUCAGAUGAAUCAAUAGAGUGACCUUGUGCAAACACUUGGCCUGGACUUUUCAAACAUGC